Molecule: ribosomal RNA, 479 nt
Filed under: Moraxella macacae
Lineage: Bacteria; Pseudomonadati; Pseudomonadota; Gammaproteobacteria; Moraxellales; Moraxellaceae
Description: bacterial SSU rRNA
Rfam family: Bacterial small subunit ribosomal RNA
Source: RNAcentral
AUUGAACGCUGGCGGCAGGCUUAACACAUGCAAGUCGAACGAUGAGACCUAGCUUGCUAGGUUGAAUAGUGGCGGACGGGUGAGUAACAUUUAGGAAUCUGCCUUAUAGAGGGGGAUAGCUCGGGGAAACUCGAAUUAAUACCGCAUACGUCCUACGGGAGAAAGGUGCCUUAGGGUAUCGCUAUAAGAUGAGCCUAAACCAGAUUAGCUAGUUGGUGGGGUAAAGGCCUACCAAGGCGACGAUCUGUAGCUGGUCUGAGAGGAUGAUCAGCCACACCGGAACUGAGACACGGUCCGGACUCCUACGGGAGGCAGCAGUGGGGAAUAUUGGACAAUGGGGGCAACCCUGAUCCAGCCAUGCCGCGUGUGUGAAGAAGGCCUUUUGGUUGUAAAGCACUUUAAGCAGUGAAGAAGACGCUGUGGCUAAUAUCCACAGUUGAUGACAUUAACUGCAGAAUAAGCACCGGCUAACUCUGUGC